UACGAGGGGGGCAAGCGUUGUUCGGAAUUAUUGGGCGUAAAGGGUGCGUAGGCGGUUCGGUAAGUCUUAUGUGAAAUCUUCAGGCUCAACUUGAAGUCUGCAUGAGAAACUGCCGGGCUUGAGUAUGGGAGAGGUGAGUGGAAUUUCCGGUGUAGCGGUGAAAUGCGUAGAUAUCGGAAGGAACACCUGUGGCGAAAGCGGCUCACUGGACAAUAACUGACGCUGAUGCACGAAAGCUAGGGGAGCAAACAGG
Molecule: ribosomal RNA, 253 nt
Filed under: uncultured bacterium
Lineage: Bacteria
Description: partial 16S ribosomal RNA
Rfam family: Bacterial small subunit ribosomal RNA
Source: RNAcentral